AUAAAAUGACUACAGACUGAAUCUUAUUUCUGCUCAACUGACUGUGCAGCUCAAAUGAGCUAAAAGGCAGUAUAAAUCUUCACUGUGAUUAUAUUUUACAAUAUUUUGAAAUGAGGAAACACUUACAAUCAGAGAAUCUUGGCAACAGUUUGGAGAGGGCUCAAUGUCCAGGUGAUUGAACGUCAGCUGGAUCUGAUACCCCUGUGGCACCUCCAGGUCCCAUUGCUCCAGGAUAUCUGCUGGAUAUGGUUGAGGGUACUGUGGAGAAGACACCUCCCCAAACAUGGCCGGCUCACACUCACACACAUUCACACAUGCCCAGAG
Labeo rohita (rohu) is the source of this 324-nucleotide long non-coding RNA. RefSeq lists it as uncharacterized. The record is from RefSeq and is a predicted model, not a curated record. NCBI's taxonomy places the organism in Eukaryota, Metazoa, Chordata, Actinopteri, Cypriniformes, Cyprinidae. The transcript has 2 exons.